CUACGUGCCAGCAGCCGCGGUAAUACGGAAGGUUCGGGCGUUAUCCGGAUUUAUUGGGUUUAAAGGGAGCGUAGGCUGGAGAUUAAGUGUGUUGUGAAAUGUAGACGCUCAACGUCUGACUUGCAGCGCAUACUGGUUUCCUUGAGUACGCACAACGUUGGCGGAAUUCGUCGUGUAGCGGUGAAAUGCUUAGAUAUGACGAAGAACUCCGAUUGCGAAGGCAGCUGACGGGAGCGCAACUGACGCUGAAGCUCGAAGGUGCGGGUAUCGAACAGGAUUAGAUACCCUGGUAGUCCGCACAGUAAACGAUGGAUGCCCGCUGUUGGUACCUGGUAUCAGCGGCUAAGCGAAAGCAUUAAGCAUCCCACCUGGGGAGUACGCCGGCAACGGUGAAACUCAAAGGAAUUGACGGGGGCCCGCACAAGCGGAGGAACAUGUGGUUUAAUUCGAUGAUACGCGAGGAACCUUACCCGGGCUUGAA
Molecule: ribosomal RNA, 481 nt
Filed under: uncultured bacterium
Lineage: Bacteria
Description: bacterial SSU rRNA
Rfam family: Bacterial small subunit ribosomal RNA
Source: RNAcentral